AAAUGUUAUAGGGACCCUAAAAUGCCAUGGUUGGAGCAGCUUGGACUUCCCCAUUUCUUCAUCUACUUCCCUUUUACUGGGGAGGAAGGAGAUGGGGUAGGCAGGGGAAGGUGACCCCGCUGGUUCCCCAGUUAAUGCUCUGCUUGGGUGGCUGCCUUCCUGCCCUUCGAAUGGGGCCCUGGACCUGUUUGAGCAUGCAUCAGAUGUCACCUCUCUGGUAGCACAUCCCCUCCCUCCCCAUGUUCACUUGCAGUGAGUCUACUGCAUUGUUGAAACACAGAAAAGAUCUUGCAGGGUGCAUUCCUGGCCUCUUCUGCUAGCAGCUGCAGUCACACAGACACCAUUUCUGUGGGUUUUUUUUUUUUUUUUUUUCAUUCCGCUUCCCCUCACUCAGCUGCUGUCGGAAUUUCUGGUCUUUCCUCUCCCUGUCUUCCUGUGACAAAGGAAUGCCACAGCCUUAGGCUUGCUGCCUCUUUGCCUUAGGAAAGGUUAGCCUUUACAGAAGUCAUCUUGCCAGAGGAGAUGGAAGAGUGGAGUCUGUAAUCAUCUGGAAUUUCCUACUUUGGUAACAGGGAAGCAGGCAUCUGUUGUUUGUCCCUGUUGAUGGAAAAAGAGCAGGUCUGACACAUUCAGCAAUGUGCUUUCCUUGCAAGCAUGAGGACCUGAGUUCAAGUCUCAAAGCCCACCUAAAAUGCCAGUGUACAGCCGGAUGGCAUGGAGGAUGGAAGGAAGCUCAUGGGUUCCAAGAGAGAAGCAUAGUCUUAGCCUUGCCGUGUUUCUGAACUCCUCAUGGUCUCAUUCAGCAAAGCAUUCCCAAGUGCCCACUGUGUACCCGGCAAUGUGAUAACAGAUCAAGUUGCUUCCUUUCCUUAUGAACUCUUACAGUCUCUUUGACUGAGGUUUAAUAAAACAAAAUACAAC
RNAcentral lists this long non-coding RNA (921 nucleotides) under Cricetulus griseus (Chinese hamster). RNAcentral describes it as "lncRNA (ENSCGRG00015039187.1)". Lineage: Eukaryota; Metazoa; Chordata; Mammalia; Rodentia; Cricetidae. The record is from RNAcentral.